Molecule: ribosomal RNA, 607 nt
Filed under: Salmonella enterica subsp. enterica serovar Kentucky
Lineage: Bacteria; Pseudomonadati; Pseudomonadota; Gammaproteobacteria; Enterobacterales; Enterobacteriaceae
Description: partial 23S ribosomal RNA
Rfam family: Bacterial large subunit ribosomal RNA
Source: RNAcentral
CCCAGACAGCCAGGAUGUUGGCUUAGAAGCAGCCAUCAUUUAAAGAAAGCGUAAUAGCUCACUGGUCGAGUCGGCCUGCGCGGAAGAUGUAACGGGGCUAAACCAUGCACCGAAGCUGCGGCAGCGACACUGUGUGUUGUUGGGUAGGGGAGCGUUCUGUAAGCCUGUGAAGGUGGCCUGUGAGGGUUGCUGGAGGUAUCAGAAGUGCGAAUGCUGACAUAAGUAACGAUAAAGCGGGUGAAAAGCCCGCUCGCCGGAAGACCAAGGGUUCCUGUCCAACGUUAAUCGGGGCAGGGUGAGUCGACCCCUAAGGCGAGGCCGAAAGGCGUAGUCGAUGGGAAACGGGUUAAUAUUCCUGUACUUGGUGUUACUGCGAAGGGGGGACGGAGAAGGCUAUGUUGGCCGGGCGACGGUUGUCCCGGUUUAAGCGUGUAGGCUGGUUUUCCAGGCAAAUCCGGAAAAUCAAGGCUGAGGCGUGAUGACGAGGCACUACGGUGCUGAAGCAACAAAUGCCCUGCUUCCAGGAAAAGCCUCUAAGCAUCAGGUAACAUCAAAUCGUACCCCAAACCGACACAGGUGGUCAGGUAGAGAAUACCAAGGCGCUUGA